RNAcentral lists this ribosomal RNA (88 nucleotides) under Streptomyces tendae. Lineage: Bacteria; Bacillati; Actinomycetota; Actinomycetes; Kitasatosporales; Streptomycetaceae. RNAcentral also lists the same sequence under 66 other names. The record is from RNAcentral.
CGGUUACAUUUCGAACCCGGAAGCUAAGCCUUACAGCGCCGAUGGUACUGCAGGGGGGACCCUGUGGGAGAGUAGGACGCCGCCGAAC